AUUGAACACUGGCGGCAGGCUUAACACAUGCAAGUCGAGCGGGGUGAUGGUGCUUGCACUAUCACUUAGCGGCGGACGGGUGAGUAAUGCUUAGGAAUCUGCCUAUUAGUGGGGGACAACAUCUCGAAAGGGAUGCUAAUACCGCAUACGUCCUACGGGAGAAAGCAGGGGAUCACUUGUGACCUUGCGCUAAUAGAUGAGCCUAAGUCGGAUUAGCUAGUUGGUGGGGUAAAGGCCUACCAAGGCGACGAUCUGUAGCGGGUCUGAGAGGAUGAUCCGGCACGAUGGGACUGAGACACGGCCCAGACGCCUACGGGAGGCAGAAGUGGGGAAUAUUGGACAAUGGGGGGAACCCUGAUCCAGCCAUGCCGCGUGUGUGAAGAAGGCCUUAUGGUUGUAAAGCACUUUAAGCGAGGAGGAGGCUCUUUUGGUUAAUACCCAAGAUGAGUGGACGUUACUCGCAGAAUAAGCACCGGCUAACUCUGUGCCAGCCGCCGCCGUAA
This 503-nucleotide ribosomal RNA is filed under the name uncultured bacterium. RNAcentral's name for it is "partial 16S ribosomal RNA". It matches the Rfam family "Bacterial small subunit ribosomal RNA", at positions 30 to 523 of the family's 1533-position model. The record is from RNAcentral.